UACGUAGGGUGCAAGCGUUAAUCGGAAUUACUGGGCGCAAAGCGUGCGCAGGCGGCUUUGCAAGACAGAUGUGAAAUCCCCGGGCUUAACCUGGGAACUGCAUUUGUGACUGCAUGGCUGGAGUGCGGCAGAGGGGGAUGGAAUUCCGCGUGUAGCAGUGAAAUGCGUAGAUAUGCGGAGGAACACCGAUGGCGAAGGCAAUCCCCUGGGCCUGCACUGACGCUCAUGCACGAAAGCGUGGGGAGCAAACAGG
RNAcentral lists this ribosomal RNA (253 nucleotides) under uncultured bacterium. RNAcentral's name for it is "partial 16S ribosomal RNA". It matches the Rfam family "Bacterial small subunit ribosomal RNA", at positions 524 to 776 of the family's 1533-position model. The record is from RNAcentral.